GGAGGGGGCAAGCGUUGUUCGGAAUUACUGGGCGUAAAGCGCGCGCAGGCGGUUGGGUAAGUCAGAUGUGAAAGCCCCCAGCUCAACUGGGGAACUGCGUCUGAUACUGCUCGGCUUGAGUCCGAUAGGGGAUGGCAGAAUUCCCGGUGUAGCGGUGGAAUGCGUAGAUAUCGGGAGGAAUACCGAUGGCGAAGGCGGCCAUCUGGGUCGGUACUGACGCUGAGGCGCGAAAGCUAGGGGAGCAAACAGGAUUAGAUACCCUGGUAGUCCUAGCUGUAAACGAUGACCACUUGGUGUUGCGGGUUUCUACCCCCGCAGUGCCGGAGCUAACGCGUUAAGUGGUCCGCCUGGGGAGUACGGUCGCAAGGCUG
RNAcentral lists this ribosomal RNA (371 nucleotides) under uncultured bacterium. Its description in RNAcentral is "bacterial SSU rRNA". It matches the Rfam family "Bacterial small subunit ribosomal RNA", at positions 527 to 896 of the family's 1533-position model. The record is from RNAcentral.